UGCAACUGAAGUCAUGCACAUUGUUGGUACAAAUGUUAUAGCUUGAAAAAAUAAAGAUACUUGAACCUAACUCAUUGACUGCACUGCAUACAUAAUCAUAAUCCAAAAAGAAAAGACAUUAUUAAAUCCACAUUUAGUUGCUCGGUAGUUUUGCUUCACAUGCUCAAUGACCUCAACACUUUCUUUCUCUUUUCCUUUGUCUUUGUUUUUGCCUGCAAAGCAGAUUUCUCAGAAAUUAAUAACACACAAUAACACAUAAAUUUCACUGAAUUAAUUUACAAAUUAUAAAGUCAGUAUAAUGAACCAUAUUAUGCAAUACAAAGGUUCAUAACACUGACAUGCAAAUUCAUAUAAACUGCAUUUAAAAAAUCGUGAAUUCACAUGUAAUCUUUCAUAUACAACACACAACGCAAUCUCAAAGUGAACUUUCCCAGUAUACCAAAAAAAUUCAUAGGAACCACAAGAAUAAAAAACGAAAAAAANNAAACAAAAAAAAACAUGAACCAUAAAACAGAAUCUACUUAGGUUCCCACAAAAACAAUAUAUACUUACAACAAAUUUGAAGCUAAUCUUAGAUCCAAAACCAUAGUAAAAUCAUAAAAUAAAGAACAAGAUAGUGAUUGUACGUAUUCUAAGAAUCAGCAAAAAUAAAUUCAUAAAUCACAAUCAGCAGAUUCUACCCAAGAAAUACAUAUUCCUAAAUCAAAAUGUUAUUUAACAGACCAUGAAUCAAAAUCGUUCAUUGAGGGUGGAGACAAAAAAAAAAAGGAAAAAAUAAAAAAAUAAAAUCGAUCGAACACAACUCACCCGACGAACCUCCCUUUGUUUUCGCCAUGGAUGAGUUUCACGAAUUAAACCUAGAUCUAAGUAGUUGAAAUACCAGAAAACCCGUUCGUCGGCGCCGAGAAGAAAGUAAAAAGAAUAACCUAAAAAGCUGUCGGUUCAUAAACUACCCCCCAUAAAUGAGUUUGUAAUUUUUUAUUUUCUUAAUUUAUCUCAUACGUUUUAGUUAGAU
RNAcentral lists this long non-coding RNA (1015 nucleotides) under Salvia miltiorrhiza (redroot sage). RNAcentral describes it as "long non-coding RNA (SMIL_LNC004630)". Lineage: Eukaryota; Viridiplantae; Streptophyta; Magnoliopsida; Lamiales; Lamiaceae. The record is from RNAcentral.